Molecule: small nucleolar RNA, 83 nt
Filed under: Phocoena sinus (vaquita)
Lineage: Eukaryota; Metazoa; Chordata; Mammalia; Artiodactyla; Phocoenidae
Description: Small nucleolar RNA SNORD79 (ENSPSNG00000004201.1)
Rfam family: Small nucleolar RNA SNORD79
About the family: snoRNA U79 or Z22 is found in intron 7 of the gas5 gene in humans and is also present in mice.
Source: Rfam by way of RNAcentral
UACGGGUAGUGAUGAUUUUUUUAAAUGAAGCAGAUGGGAAUCUCUCUGAAAAAGACUGAAGAUUUUAAAAAACUGAAACAGUG